GUAGAUGGUCCCCUCCAUGAAGAACCUCCAAGUAAGGUGACCAGGUAGAACCAACUCCCAUGUGAUGGCCAAAGGAUCAGUUGUCCAGAAGUACCAAAAAAUCACGUCAAAGCUACGGACCAAGACUGUUUCUUGAAUCACAGCCUUGUUUUUAAUCCCAACUAAAAGUAUUUACCCCAACCAAAGGUUUCACGAACCUCAGCGAUUUGGACCUCAGACCCUAAAAGAAACAGAUGUUUUUCAUGAGGUUUGGGGUUUUGUAACAGGAGAUUUCCAUGGUUUUAAUACCCAAAUCUACACCUGUUCCUCAAACUAUAAGGGAUAGAUUUAUGUCAUGCAGUGUAGUGGGCUGAUCCUAACACCCUUGUCGUGAGACAGAUUUACUGUAGCUGUCAAGACAAAUUUGCUGUAAGAAGUCAAUACCUCUCAGCCUGCCGGUGCCUUAAGGAGAAAAGGACUGGAUGUUUAAUGCUGUAAAUAUUUUAUUCUUGCUCUGCUAUACAAACCUCGCUCGGCCUCUCCCAACCAACUUCUAUUAUGCUCCAGUUUCUCAUGAGUAAAAUGGGGACAACACUUGUGAGAGUGGAGGGGAUAAGACCAGUGAAGAAAGGAAACUUCUGCCCAGGAAGUCAGUUCAGCAAAAAGAUGAGCCAUGUGGAUAGAGGAAGGACACCGAGCUGGCAGCAAAACCUGAUUGUACAAGCUAACCCUGUUGGGUGGAAACAGCUCCUGCUGGUGGGACGACUGGAGGCUCCCUGCUCCCCUGGGCGUGCUGCACCGGCUGCAGUGGGGUUGCAUUGCCAGAAUGCUGGAUUCAGAAGUGGGAGAAAAAGCAGAAGAGCUGCCAGGGGCUGCCCGGAUGUACGGUGCGGUGCGUGCACGGAGGAAACACGAGCCAUUGCACCGGCUGUUUGGCAGUUGAGGAGGACAUCAGGCCUCUGAAAUGGGAGGUGCAGCUCGCAGAGCUAGAUCUGUCUCAAGGAUGCCAGCAGGUGGUGGAAGCUCCAGCGUGUUCCCAGUGUGCUGUGUUCCCAACACCACCUUGACUGGGCCUGUCCUUCCAGGAGGAGAGGAUAGGCCUGGGCUUGUCUUGAACAGUUUUGUGUGCCCUCAAUGCCUGUGGUUAUGUACAGGUAGUAAGGUUUACCUGCAUGCAACAUGUCUUGUUGGAAAAGAAGGGAAGAGUGGUGGGUGCACUGCAGAAAAUCUGGUUCUGGCUCAGGUGCUGACUUCGAACUCCAUGAGCUCUUUCCUGUCUCUAUGUGCAGUGGGGAUGCUUUUUGAAAUCCCAUGAACUCUUUUCUCACAGUGAGGAUGCCUGUGGGUGAUUCACGUGUUUCAUGGUACUCACCCAAGCAGUGCAACAAAGACUGCUUUGCUUCCUUUCCAUGAAAUUCCCCUUGUCCCCCAGACUGUGGCUGUUCCAUGCUUUAGGCAGGAGGUUUUGCUGUGGCCAGUGGCUGUUUGUUUUGGUGUGUUUUUUCUCUCUUUGCUCACCUUGAUCUGUUCCUCUGGUCUGCUCCAGCACAGUACACUUCAGACCCACAUCUUUUAUUACCAUGUGAUGCUGCUCUUACUGCUGAGUGCAAGAUGCACACCAGCUCGGGCACCAAAACUCAGAGCUGCUGCCUGCAGUAUUGCUGGGAACAUGCACCGAGCCAUUGAUUUGGGCAUAGAAAAUAGGAAGCUAAGUCACGAUGUCAGAUAGGACAAAGUAAGGCAGGGCAAUAAGAACCGAGAGGAGCUGCACUGAAAUGGAGAACUCCUUGGCUGCAGAAACUUGUAAUUAUUUGGGCUCUGUCAGAGAUGAAUGGCUGUGUCUCCUUCCAGAGUCAUCUGCAUAGCUGGGUAAAUGUGAUUGCAUUGAUUUAGCGUGUCUUCAAGAGUCUUUUUACAACCACAGGAGCUAGAAAUGUCUUUUGUUGUUGUUGCUUUUUUUAAUGAA
RNAcentral lists this long non-coding RNA (1945 nucleotides) under Numida meleagris (helmeted guineafowl). Its description in RNAcentral is "lncRNA (ENSNMEG00000005878.1)". Lineage: Eukaryota; Metazoa; Chordata; Aves; Galliformes; Numididae. The record is from RNAcentral.